CGGCUGAACCAGCAACUUGGAAGAAUGUAUAGCAAUAGCUAAUUGCAUUGAUAAAUAAUCAGUGUAAGAUCGACUAUGUCGAAUAAAGUUCUAGGUAAAAUUAUGAUAAUGACAUUAUUUAUCUAUGUGUCUUGGCUAAAUUACGUGCCAGCAGCCGCGGUAAUACGUAGUAGACUUGUGUUAUUCAUCUUUAAUAGGUUUAAAGGGUACCUAGACGGUAAAUCAAGCCUGCAAAAGGGACUAGUAUACUAGAGUUUAAUAUGAGGAAGUAUUAAAGUACUGUUGGUGUAGAGAUGGAAUUCGAUGAUACUAAACAUGGCACAGAUAUAGGCGAAAGCAUCUUCUUAUGUAAUAACUGACGUUGAGGGACGAAGGCUUUGUGUCUCGAUUAGGAUUAGAUACCCUAGUAGUCUAAGCAGAAAAUUAUGAGUGUCAUAGGCUAGAUUUUUUUUUGUCUAUAAAUGAAAGUGUAAGCAUUCCACCUCAAGAGUAAUUUGGCAACAUUGGAACUGAAAUCAUUAGACCGUUUCUGAAACCAGUAGUGAAGUAUGUUGUUUAAUUUGAUGAUCCGCAAAAAACCUUACCACAAUUUGAAUGUUUGUAAAGCUUUUUAGAAAAACAUUUUGAGAUAUAAGUAUUUUGAGAGAGGCUUUAUAGAUACAAGCGUUGCACGGCUGUCUUCAGUUAAUGUCGUGAGAUUUUGGUUAGUUCCAUUAAAUUAACGUAAACCCGUACUUUAUUUAUCUAUAAAGUAGUUCGCCGCUAUAUUGGAAAAUGAUAAUAGGGGCUAAGACAAGUCAUCAUGGCCUUA
Molecule: ribosomal RNA, 811 nt
Filed under: Bryobilimbia sanguineoatra
Lineage: Eukaryota; Fungi; Ascomycota; Lecanoromycetes; Lecideales; Lecideaceae
Description: SSU rRNA
Rfam family: Bacterial small subunit ribosomal RNA
Source: RNAcentral